This 497-nucleotide ribosomal RNA is filed under the name uncultured bacterium. RNAcentral describes it as "partial 16S ribosomal RNA". It matches the Rfam family "Bacterial small subunit ribosomal RNA", at positions 28 to 507 of the family's 1533-position model. The record is from RNAcentral.
GAUGAACGCUGGCGGCGUGCCUAAUACAUGCAAGUCGAGCGAACGGACGAGAAGCUUUCUUCUCUGAUUUUAGCGGCGGACGGGUGAGUAACACGUGGAUAACCUACCUAUAAGACUGGGAUAACUUCGGGAAACCGUAGCUAAUACCGGAUAAUAUUUUGAACCGCAUGGUUCAAAAGUGAAAGACGGUCUUGCUGUCACUUUUAGAUGAAUCCGCUCGGCAUUAGCUAGUUGGUAAGGUAACGGCUUACCAAGGCAACGAUGCAUAGCCGACCUGAGAGGGUGAUCAGCCACACUGGAACUGAGACACGGUCCAGACUCCUACGGGAGGCAGCAGUGGGGAAUCUUGCGCAAUGGGCGCAAGCCUGACGCAGCAACGCCGCGUGUAUGAUGAAGGUCUUCGGAUCGUAAAACUCUGUUAUCAGGGAGGAACAUAUGUGUAAGUAAAUGUGCACAUCUUGACGGUACCUAAUCAGAAAGCCACGGCUAACUCCGUG